RNAcentral lists this long non-coding RNA (605 nucleotides) under Brassica napus (rape). RNAcentral describes it as "long non-coding RNA (BNAP_LNC018800)". Lineage: Eukaryota; Viridiplantae; Streptophyta; Magnoliopsida; Brassicales; Brassicaceae. The record is from RNAcentral.
UAUAUAUUUUAUAAUAUUAUUAUUUUAAUUUUUAGUUAAAUCACAAAUUAUAAAUACAUAAAUAUAUGAGAAUAUAAAUAUAAUAAUUUACAUGUUUAACAUUAUUUAAUUUUGUAUUAUUACUAAAGUUAAAAAUGGGUAGUCAAUUUGUAAAGCAUAGAAUUAUUAUUUGAUUGUAUAAUAUUAGAUUAAUGUAAAUUUUCGUUUUUGUAAUUCAUUACUGUAUAUAUUUAUAUUUAUACAUGAUUUUUGUAAUUUGUGUUUGAUAGAUACAUUUUUUGGGGGUUUCAAAUUGAAUGGCCAUUAUUAGCGUAAUUAGUGUGAUCAAACAUUUGGAUUUAUUGUUUUGCUUCGGGUGUUGAAGUACUUGAUGACAUACUUUUGAAUUAGGAAAACUGAAAUUUAGACUCUAGAGGGAGCUUUAGUCUAGAAAUGGAAUUAUACUAAAUAGUUGUUGUAAUAGACAAAGACGUACUUCAGGAGGCUUGUGUCUAAUUUAUGCGUCAGCGAAUAAGUUGUAUUUGCUUUUUUGUUCUAUUGAAUUCGAAAAAGAAAGUUUUUUGUUGUUUAUUUAUGCACCACUCUUACCUCACUGCACCUACACU